RNAcentral lists this transfer RNA (65 nucleotides) under Calophya schini. RNAcentral describes it as "tRNA-Pro". Lineage: Eukaryota; Metazoa; Arthropoda; Insecta; Hemiptera; Calophyidae. The record is from RNAcentral.
UCAGCAAGUAGUUUAAUAAAAAAUUUUAAUUUUGGAAAUUAAAGAUAUGCUAUAUUUUUGCUGAU